CUGCAGCCAGUUAAACUAACUGUGUUCCUUUCUCUGUGGGGGCCCAGCAUGCAGUGACUGGAAACAGCAGCCUUGGUAGGGUACACAGCCUGUUGCUUUUAUGGGUUGUCCUAAGGGACCUUGGAGACAGUC
Cynocephalus volans (Philippine flying lemur) is the source of this 132-nucleotide small nucleolar RNA. RefSeq annotates it as small nucleolar RNA SNORA70. The record is from RefSeq and is a predicted model, not a curated record. Lineage: Eukaryota; Metazoa; Chordata; Mammalia; Dermoptera; Cynocephalidae. The transcript has a single exon.